GACGAACGCUGGCGGCGUGCUUAACACAUGCAAGUCGAACGGAAAGGCCCUGCUUUUGUGGGGUGCUCGAGUGGCGAACGGGUGAGUAACACGUGAGUAACCUGCCCUUGACUUUGGGAUAACUUCAGGAAACUGGGGCUAAUACCGGAUAGGAGCUCCUGCUGCAUGGUGGGGGUUGGAAAGUUUCGGCGGUUGGGGAUGGACUCGCGGCUUAUCAGCUUGUUGGUGGGGUAGUGGCUUACCACGGCUUUGACGGGUAGCCGGCCUGGGAGGGUGACCGGCCUCCUUGGGCCUGCGAUACGGCCCAGACUCCUACGGGCGGCAGCAGUGGGGAAUAUUGCACAAUGGGCGGAAGCCUGAUGCAGCAACGUUGCGUGCGGGAUGCCGGCCUUCGGGUUGUAAACAGAUUUCGCCUGUGCCGAAGAGUGCGUGACGGUAAUGGGUAAAGAAGCACCGGCUAACUACGUG
This 468-nucleotide ribosomal RNA is filed under the name uncultured bacterium. Its description in RNAcentral is "partial 16S ribosomal RNA". It matches the Rfam family "Bacterial small subunit ribosomal RNA", at positions 28 to 507 of the family's 1533-position model. The record is from RNAcentral.